CCAUGGCUCAGAUUGAACGCUGGCGGCAGGCCUAACACAUGCAAGUCGAGCGGAUGACAGGAGCUUGCUCCUGAAUUCAGCGGCGGACGGGUGAGUAAUGCCUAGGAAUCUGCCUGGUAGUGGGGGACAACGUUUCGAAAGGAACGCUAAUACCGCAUACGUCCUACGGGAGAAAGCAGGGGACCUUCGGGCCUUGCGCUAUCAGAUGAGCCUAGGUCGGAUUAGCUAGUUGGUGAGGUAAUGGCUCACCAAGGCGACGAUCCGUAACUGGUCUGAGAGGAUGAUCAGUCACACUGGAACUGAGACACGGUCCAGACUCCUACGGGAGGCAGCAGUGGGGAAUAUUGGACAAUGGGCGAAAGCCUGAUCCAGCCAUGCCGCGUGUGUGAAGAAGGUCUUCGGAUUGUAAAGCACUUUAAGUUGGGAGGAAGGGCAUUAACCUAAUACGUUAGUGUUUUGACGUUACCGACAGAAUAAGCACCGGCUA
This 487-nucleotide ribosomal RNA is filed under the name Pseudomonas sp. CL2.95. RNAcentral's name for it is "bacterial SSU rRNA". It matches the Rfam family "Bacterial small subunit ribosomal RNA", at positions 17 to 499 of the family's 1533-position model. Lineage: Bacteria; Pseudomonadati; Pseudomonadota; Gammaproteobacteria; Pseudomonadales; Pseudomonadaceae. The record is from RNAcentral.